Long non-coding RNA from Megalobrama amblycephala (Wuchang bream), 1701 nucleotides. RefSeq lists it as uncharacterized. The record is from RefSeq and is a predicted model, not a curated record. Lineage: Eukaryota; Metazoa; Chordata; Actinopteri; Cypriniformes; Xenocyprididae. The transcript has 3 exons.
GAAAUUAACUUUUUAUUCUUUUAAUUCAUGACAAACAAAACAAAACAAAGUUGUACGCGUCAAGAGACUUAUACGCUUUUAGCUUCUCCUGAGUAUAGGCUAUACACUUGAGGUGUCAAUCAGGUAAAUAUACAUCUCUGGCCACUGGAUGCUUGGCCAUUUCGUUUCAUCAUUUAACCACUGACAAGGUGCUAUGGCAGACAUCCCAAGUCUCCCGGAAGUUCCGGGAGUCUCCCGCAUAUUGAUAGCGGCUCCCUGAUGCCCGCAAAUUAGUUAAAAUCUCCCGGAAUCUAGAGCGAGCGAGCAAGAGCGUGCAUAGAGACUGUGUUUCAAACCAGCGCGCGCACGGCAGAGAGGGAGAGGGAGCGAGAGAGAGACCUUGCGUGUGUGUGUGUGUGUGUGUGUGUGUGUGCGUGUGUGCGAAGCGCAUGUAAGACAGAGAGCAUCCCGAAUGGCCUUUUUCGGCAAAUCAACCAAUCAAUUAUCAGUGAGAUAUAAUUCAUCCAGACACACAGCUGAUAUAAAUGAUGCACACCCAGGUGAGAUAAACUACACAGCACGAUGGAUCCACUCUAACAGUUAUCUGUCCAGUACCAGAGCAAGAUGAACACCACGGCCUCCAUGAACCAAACAUAUCCUCUUGUAUUUACAUGCUCAGACUCUUACCCAGGGAAUUUCAUUGGAUUAACUGUCACAGCAUUCCAGAUUUUUAUCAUCCUGCCUGUUCACACCCGGGUCCUCUGGCUGGGCACAAGUGACAUUAGAAAAGGUGGAAGUCUGGCAACCUCAGAUAUCUUUACAGUCAGCCUGUCUGUAUUAGAACUUUUGACUGUCAUACUUUUUGUGUUUACACUGUUUGCUUUUGCUCUUAACUAUCAACACACGAUGCUUAUUUUUAUGUUCUUUUCUGGAAGCUACAUGGUUGGACGUCCCUUUUCGAAUAGCUUGAUUUGUGUUGAGCGCUACAUAGCCGUGGGCCAUCCAGUGAUGUACCGCAACCCAGGCUUUGUGAAGCACAGAUAUAUUGUUGCUGGACUGGUCUGGAUGCUGACUUUGUCUUAUGGAGGAUUUGCUGUGUUCACCUUUCCAGAACCCCCGAUUGCAGCCUACCUUGUCUCCCUCACAAUUAGCCUGUUAGUGAUCACCGCUUGUAGUCUAGGUGUGCUCAAGUUCCUGUUGAGACCAAGUCCUGUUGAAGCACAAAAGGAAAGGAUGCACCACCAGAAAAAGAGGGCAUUUGUAAUUAUCACUGGCAUUCUAGUUUGCAUAUCUGUUCCAUAUGGUCCUGGAUUUGUUUGCUUUCAGUAUGAAGAAGUAUAUAUCUUAUGAUAAUUUCUGUUUGGUGGUGGGCAUCAAUAUGUGGUUAAUUCAAGAAUGUAGUUUAAUACAGCCUUUUCUCUAUCUGUCCAAGCUUGGCAAGUUUUCAUGCAGCAAAAAGUUUCUCAUUAAAACAACGAAAAUGGUUGGAGCUGUCGCUUCGUGGAUAUCACAUGGCUCUCAGAUGUAAGACGUAAGCUCAAUUCUGGGUUGUGUUGUGUAACCAUCAGCUCUCCUUACAAUUUUCUAUCUGCUUCUUUUGUUAAAAAAUCUUGAAAUGCAUUAAAAGCUGAUAAAAUGGUAACAAACAUGGUAACAAAAUGGGAUACUUUUCUUGUGGUCUCCAGUGGCCUUUGCUAAUGCUCUGUGUGAUGUGAAAUUAGU